RNAcentral lists this ribosomal RNA (253 nucleotides) under uncultured bacterium. RNAcentral describes it as "partial 16S ribosomal RNA". It matches the Rfam family "Bacterial small subunit ribosomal RNA", at positions 524 to 776 of the family's 1533-position model. The record is from RNAcentral.
GACGUAGGGCGCGAGCGUUGUCCGGAUUUAUUGGGCGUAAAGAGCUCGUAGGCGGCUUGUCGCGUCGUCCGUGAAAACCUGCAGCUCAACUGCAGGCUUGCGGUCGAUACGGGCAGGCUAGAGUUCGGUAGGGGAGACUGGAAUUCCUGGUGUAGCGGUGAAAUGCGUAGAUAUCUGGAGGAACACCGGUGGCGAAGGCGGCAUCCUGGACCGGCAUUGACGCUGAGGAGCGAAAGCCAGGGGAGCAAACGGG